This 253-nucleotide ribosomal RNA is filed under the name uncultured bacterium. Its description in RNAcentral is "partial 16S ribosomal RNA". It matches the Rfam family "Bacterial small subunit ribosomal RNA", at positions 524 to 776 of the family's 1533-position model. The record is from RNAcentral.
UACAGAGGUCUCAAGCGUUGUUCGGAUUCAUUGGGCGUAAAGAGCGUGUAGGCGGCCAGAUAAGUCCGCUGUGAAAUCUCGAGGCUCAACUUCGAGCUGUCGGUGGAAACUAUCUGGCUAGAGUCCGGAAGAGGAGAAUGGAAUUCCUGGUGUAGCAGUGAAAUGCGCAGAUAUCAGGAAGAACACCCGUGGCGAAGGCAGUUCUCUGGGACGGUACUGACGCUGAGACACGAAAGCGUGGGGAGCGAACAGG